UGUCCGGAAACCGAAACCCACUCACACACGGCAGGAGCGGGGGACCCAGGUAAGGCGCCGUUCCGUCAUCCGGACCGGCUUGGGGUGAAGCCGCUCAUACCGCGGCCGGGCAGCUCCAGCCCGAACCCGACAGCUCACCUCGCAGGCGACGGAGAGGAAUU
RNAcentral lists this small RNA (161 nucleotides) under Streptomyces sp. RNAcentral describes it as "c-di-AMP sequence". It matches the Rfam family "c-di-AMP riboswitch aptamer (ydaO/yuaA leader)". Rfam says of the family: This family represents a conserved RNA structure found upstream of the ydaO and yuaA genes in Bacillus subtilis and related genes in other bacteria. The ydaO/yuaA element is thought to act as a genetic "off" switch for the ydaO and yuaA genes in its native state. RNAcentral also lists the same sequence under 1 other name. The record is from RNAcentral. Lineage: Bacteria; Bacillati; Actinomycetota; Actinomycetes; Kitasatosporales; Streptomycetaceae.